CCGAAUUCUUCCCAACAGAGUUUGAUCCUGGCUCAGAACGAACGCUGGCGGCAUGCCUAACACUUGCCCGUCGAACGAAGGCUUCGGCCUUAGUGGCGCACGGGUGCGUAACGCGUGGGAAUCUGCCCUUUGCUACGGAAUAACUCGGGGAAACUCGUGCUAAUACCGUAUGAUGUCGCAAGACCAAAGAUUUAUCGGCAGGGGAUGAGCCCGCGUAGGAUUAGCUAGUUGGUGGGGUAAAGGCUCACCAAGGCGACGAUCCUUAGCUGGUCUGAGAGGAUGAUCAGCCACACUGGGACUGAGACACGGCCCAGACUCCUACGGGAGGCAGCAGUGGGGAAUAUUGGACAAUGGGCGCAAGCCUGAUCCAGCCAUGCCGCGUGAGUGAUGAAGGCCUUAGGGUUGUAAAGCUCUUUCGCCAGGGAAGAUAAUGACGGUACCUGGAUAAGAAGCCCCGGCUAACUUCGUGCCAGCAGCCGCGGUAAUACGAAGGGGGCUAGCGUUGUUCGGAAUUACUGGGCGUAAAGCGCACGUAGGCGGCAUUCCAAGUUGGAGGUGAAAAUCCCGGGCUUAACCUGGGAACUGCCUCCAAAACUGGGAAGCUCGAGUCC
RNAcentral lists this ribosomal RNA (611 nucleotides) under uncultured Sphingomonas sp. RNAcentral describes it as "bacterial SSU rRNA". It matches the Rfam family "Bacterial small subunit ribosomal RNA", at positions 1 to 649 of the family's 1533-position model. The record is from RNAcentral. Lineage: Bacteria; Pseudomonadati; Pseudomonadota; Alphaproteobacteria; Sphingomonadales; Sphingomonadaceae.